Molecule: ribosomal RNA, 253 nt
Filed under: uncultured bacterium
Lineage: Bacteria
Description: partial 16S ribosomal RNA
Rfam family: Bacterial small subunit ribosomal RNA
Source: RNAcentral
UACGUAGGGGGCAAGCGUUAUCCGGAUUUACUGGGUGUAAAGGGAGCGUAGACGGCGAUGCAAGUCUGAAGCGAAAGGCGGGGGCCCAACCCCCGGACUGCUUUGGAAACUGUAUGGCUGGAGUGCAGGAGAGGUAAGUGGAAUUCCUAGUGUAGCGGUGAAAUGCGUAGAUAUUAGGAGGAACACCAGUGGCGAAGGCGGCUUACUGGACUGUAACUGACGUUGAGGCUCGAAAGCGUGGGGAGCAAACAGG